GGGGUCCAGAAUUCCGUGGCGAAUAGCCACUAAAGGAAGGUGCAUUCCGAGGUGCGUAUCUGCUGCGGCAAGUGACAGCUGUGUGAUUCCCUUUUCCACAGAUUUGGCAGGGACCCCGAGAUCGCUGCUGGUUGCUGUUCCGUGACCCAUUGUUGCCUCCAUUGCGUGGUCUGGGUGAAGAAUAGGAAGGAGGAAUAGUGGCGGAUUGAGUGGAACUCUUGAGAACCAUAUUAGCCUGUGGAUUAUGAAGACCUUGCACCAAAGAUUCAUGAGCGACUAAUUGCCCAUGCAACUCAUGAAAUGAGACAGGAUCAGAACGGAGAU
RNAcentral lists this unclassified non-coding RNA (324 nucleotides) under Hevea brasiliensis (rubber tree). The record is from RNAcentral. Lineage: Eukaryota; Viridiplantae; Streptophyta; Magnoliopsida; Malpighiales; Euphorbiaceae.